GACGAACGCUGGCGGCGUGCUUAACACAUGCAAGUCGAACGGAAAGGCCCUGCUUUUGUGGGGUGCUCGAUUGGCGAACGGGUGAGUAACACGUGAGUAACCUGCCCUUGACUUUGGGAUAACUUCAGGAAACUGGGGCUACUACCGGAUAGGAGCUCCUGCUGCAUGGUGGGGGGUGGAAAGUUUCGGCGGUUGGGGAUGGACUCGCGGCUUAUCAGCUUGUUGGUGGGGUAGUGGCUUACCAAGGCUUUGACGGGUAGCCGGCCUGAGAGGGUGACCGGCCACAUUGGGACUGAGAUACGGCCCAGACUCCUACGGGAGGCAGCAGUGGGGAAUAUUGCACAAUGGGCGGAAGCCUGAUGCAGCAACGCCGCGUGCGGGAUGACGGCCUUCGGGUUGUAAACCGCUUUCGCCUGUGACGAAGCGUGAGUGACGGUAAUGGGUAAAGAAGCACCGGCUAACUACGUG
This 468-nucleotide ribosomal RNA is filed under the name uncultured bacterium. RNAcentral's name for it is "partial 16S ribosomal RNA". It matches the Rfam family "Bacterial small subunit ribosomal RNA", at positions 28 to 507 of the family's 1533-position model. The record is from RNAcentral.